This is a long non-coding RNA of Bos taurus (domestic cattle), 1185 nucleotides long. The record is from Ensembl. Lineage: Eukaryota; Metazoa; Chordata; Mammalia; Artiodactyla; Bovidae.
UUUUCUCCAAAAUCUACCCAGCUCUAGAGGACAAGGCCAAGGACACACGCAAACCCAGAUCACACGGAAUGGCUCCUCCCAGCAACGCGAGCCUGGGGAGAGACGGCAGCCCUUCCGGACUGCGGGCAGGAAACGCUGAUCCGGGCUACACCAUGGGUGUCCACGCUGCUCAGUGGAGGAAAUCGGACGCAAGAGACCACAGACUCUGUGAGCCCACUGACCCAAAACGUCCCGCGUCGCCGGAUCCACAGACAGAAACUGGCCGGUUCUUGCUGGUGAUCUGCCCAGGGGACACACUGGCCAACCCCAAGGGCACUGGUCUGGGGAUGGACACGCGCGACUUCAGGGGCCUGCAUGGCUGAGGGUCUCUCGUCCACAGUUCUGAACACAGCACAGGGAAAGGGCUGUAUCGUCCCAUUCACACCAAGGGUCCACUCGUGCCUGGAGACGCGUUGGAGGCCCGGCCUGUUGGGAAACGGCUUGGAACCGGCUGGGCAGCGACACUCAGGGCCUCACCCGCAGGCAGCAUCCUGCUCAGCUGGGCCCCGCCUGCCUCCUGCUUCUGUCCAUGAGCCUCAGCCCAGCCCCAGCACAGCAGCGGCCCUGGCCUGGCACACCCUGGCCACAGGCCGCCCCAUCCACCGCAUCUCCCCGGGUGUCCGAGCCUCCUCGCCAGAUGCAGGAAGGCAGCCUGCCUUACCGGCCUGCCCCCACUCCCGGCUCCAGUUUUCUCCACACUGGGCACCGGCAAACACUUGGGAACAUGGUCCUGAUUCCCGGUUUCCUGAAGUCCACGAGGCGAGCUGCGGGGCAGUUAGGCCGCGCGUCACAACCGCGGAGCUCGCUGGCCCCGGAGCCGGGCUCCGCAAGCAGACCUGCGGCGAUGAGAGGCUGUGCAGCCAGCGAAGCCGCUCAGUGCUGCUGGAGAGCCUGCGUGCAGCAGCGAAGACCAAAUAAAUUAAAACUUUUCAAUUAAGAAAAUAAAGAUUGAGGGACAAAUUAAACAAAAAAAUAAGAGCAGUUUUGAUCAACACGCACACAGUAGGGGUCGGGGAGGGCAUGCUGGCCGGGACGCUGGGGACACGCCACAUGGAGAUGGGGCCCCAGGAAAGGAGGUGACCCAACUGUGUUCCUCUCACAACCUCAACAAACUCAAACCCACGGAAACAGAAGGACAAGGCGCCC